UGUUCUUCUUAGUCAUCCUGAUCUCGAGCCAUCGGAGUGUUGCUAUGAAGUUGUAAGGCAGAACAGGGUGGGAGAGCGAGCGCACCCUAGUGUUUGAACCUUUCUAGGUCCGCGGAGCCCCGAUUUCGACACGUGCCCUUGAAGUUGGUGAUGAAAUGCGUGCAUGGCUUGGACCAUUAAGAGAUGGAGCCCUCGUGGAGGUUCAUCAGCCACGAACAUGUGACAGCUUGGAGGUCCAUGGGGAACCAGUUUGCCAUGGCCUUGUUGUUCCAACCAUAGCUUCGAUGUCGAUGGUGUAGAGUUGUAGGAACUCCAUGGGGUUAGGGUGCCAUUGUAGCGAAGAGGUAACUCCUUCUUGAGCGGCAUGGGUCACACCAUAUGGUGUAGCUCACGAGUGGAGGCAUGACAGCCCCCUCUGCAGGAAGUGACGCCAUCGGCGAGGGUGACACGAUUCUGGUACCUGGUCGCCACGACAUCCUAGAUGGUGCACUUAUGGCGCUCGCGCUACCAUUUGAGGAUCACGUGUGCGUGUGGGUCUGUGCGCCAAACAAUCUCAUAGUUGGGAUGUGCAUGGGGUCGUGAGGACACUCCGUGGGACGGCUCCAGAGCAUGACCAUCAUGGCACCGCCCAUCGUCAUUUUUGGGCGGAGGAGGCUGAGGAGGAGCACUGUUCCCUACCUACGUGCCAUGCAACACCAAAGGGGGCACGAAAUGACUAAGAGUCGGGGCGUCUCCAGCGGUGUUGACGAGCUCGGUGAUGCGCGCAAGCUAGGCAUCAUAGUCGGUCGUGGUGGGACAGUAUCCUAGCAGCUCGCGCGCCAUGAGGAGCACGGCCUACGAGGAGGCUGGUCACAAUGGUCGUCUGAAGCCUUAGUGGUGGUGCAUGCGGGUCGUGGCUGCUCCUGCACGGACAGGUGGAGGGAGAAGGUUUGCUCCUCUCCGGCUACGAUCUUGGUGGUGGCACGAGGACGUUUGCGGCGGUUGGCGUUGACGACAGACUCAGUGCAGACCAUCUCGGCCCUACGGAGGGCACGUUGGCGUCGCGCAUUGGCCAUGUUGGUGUCGAGGUCGAAGACAUGGAAGCAGCCCCCUACCUGGCAUGCCAAAUGUUGAAGAUUUUUUUGGGCCUAAGGAAAAAACCUCCAAGAACCCUAGUUCGAGCACUGGGGAGCUCACCCGCAAUCUAUGACCUGACUAUGACCUCGGCCAGACUACACGCACAAAGCACAACGGGGACACACUGAUUGCCCAGGUUCGAGUCACUAGAAAAUGUAAAACCCUACUCCUGCAUGAUGGGAUUGCACUUGGGGAGUUCACAAGCGUUACAAGCUUGGAGGUGGAAGAAAGGCAUCCUCGAGAGAUAGUGGUAUUGAUCACAGAGAGAAGUCUCUAGCCCAAGGUGG
Molecule: long non-coding RNA, 1403 nt
Filed under: Hordeum vulgare
Lineage: Eukaryota; Viridiplantae; Streptophyta; Magnoliopsida; Poales; Poaceae
Description: long non-coding RNA (HVUL_LNC000991)
Source: RNAcentral